AUGAGUGGUUCGUUUUUGCCUUCUUUGAUUUACAAAUUGCUAAGGAGCGGAGCAUGGAGCAGGGCUCUGAGUCGUGGUGGGGCAUGUCGGAGGGCUCUGGGUUAUGGCAGGGAAGGAGCGGAGGAACUGUGCAUCCGGGGAUGGCGUGACCGCCGAUCAUAUCCGUCGCACUGGUGCCUGACAGGUCAAAUGAUCAGCAAGGCAUGUGACAGCAUCUUCAGGCCCAACUCUCACUCUGCUGUCGCCCAUUCAACGCACUCGUCGAUGCUAGGGGUGGAUGGUUCUUUGAUGCUGGCACAACUGGAGACAGCAAGAAGCAGAGGGAGGGAGGCUAUCAUGUUGAAGAAGACGCCGGCACCCUGA
Molecule: ribosomal RNA, 363 nt
Filed under: Triticum aestivum (bread wheat)
Lineage: Eukaryota; Viridiplantae; Streptophyta; Magnoliopsida; Poales; Poaceae
Description: partial small subunit ribosomal RNA
Source: RNAcentral